UCAGUAGGCGGUGUGGCAAGUCGGGAGUGAAAUCUCUGGGCUCAACCCAGAGGCUGCUUCCGAAACUGCCAUGCUAGAGUGUGGGAGAGGCGCGUGGAAUUGCAGGUGUAGCGGUGAAAUGCGUAGAUAUCUGCAGGAACACCCGUGGCGAAAGCGGCGCGCUGGACCACAACUGACGCUGAAUGAACGAAGCGUAGGGGAGACAAACA
RNAcentral lists this ribosomal RNA (209 nucleotides) under uncultured bacterium. Its description in RNAcentral is "partial 16S ribosomal RNA". It matches the Rfam family "Bacterial small subunit ribosomal RNA", at positions 568 to 774 of the family's 1533-position model. The record is from RNAcentral.